Molecule: ribosomal RNA, 454 nt
Filed under: uncultured bacterium
Lineage: Bacteria
Description: bacterial SSU rRNA
Rfam family: Bacterial small subunit ribosomal RNA
Source: RNAcentral
CUGGCGGCGUGCCUAACACAUGCAAGUCGAACGAGAAAGCGGGGGCAACUCCGCGAGUAAAGUGGCGACCGGGUGAGUAACACGUGACUAACCUACCCUCGAGCGGGGGAUAACCCCGGGAAACCGGGGCUAAUACCGCAUAACGUCUUCGAUGCGAAAGUAUUGAGGAUCAAAGGAGCAAUUCACUUGAGGAGGGGGUCGCGGCCGAUUAGCUAGUUGGCGGGGUAACGGCCCACCAAGGCUGAGAUCGGUAGCCGGCCUGAGAGGGCGCACGGCCACACUGGAACUGAAACACGGUCCAGACUCCUACGGGAGGCAGCAGUGGGGAAUUUUGCGCAAUGGGGGGAACCCUGACGCAGCAACGCCGCGUGGAGGAUGAAGUCCCUUGGGACGUAAACUCCUUUCGACCGGGAAGAUAAUGACGGUACCGGAAGAAGAAGCACCGGCUAACUCU